Molecule: ribosomal RNA, 620 nt
Filed under: uncultured Basidiomycota
Lineage: Eukaryota; Fungi; Basidiomycota
Description: LSU rRNA
Rfam family: Eukaryotic large subunit ribosomal RNA
Source: RNAcentral
CCUCAAAUCAGGUAGGACUACCCGCUGAACUUAAGCAUAUCAAUAAGCGGAGGAAAAGAAACUAACAAGGAUUCCCUUAGUAACGGCGAGUGAACCGGGAAGAGCUCAAAUUUGUAAUCUGGCUGUCUUCGAUAGUCCGAGUUGUAAUCUACAGAAGCGUUUUCCGUGCUGAACUGUGUAUAAGUCCCUUGGAACAGGGUAUCAAAGAGGGUGACAAUCCCGUACUUUACACAAUCAUCAGUGCUCUGUGAUACGUUCUCUACGAGUCGAGUUGUUUGGGAAUGCAGCUCAAAAUGGGUGGUAAAUUCCAUCUAAAGCUAAAUAUUGGCGAGAGACCGAUAGCGAACAAGUACCGUGAGGGAAAGAUGAAAAGAACUUUGGAAAGAGAGUUAAACAGUACGUGAAAUUGCUGAAAGGGAAACACUUGAAGUCAGUCGCGUUGGCCGGAAAUCAGCCUUGCUUUAGUGAGGUGUACUUUCUGGUUGACGGGCCAGCAUCAGUUUUGACCGGUGGAAAAAGUCGAGAGGAAGGUGGCAUCUUCGGGUGUGUUAUAGCCUCUUGUCGUAUACAUCGGUUGGGACUGAGGAACGCAGUACUUGUACUUCGGAUGCUGGCAUAAU